AUACGGAGGGUGCAAGCGUUGUUCGGAAUUAUUGGGCGUAAAGCGCGUGUAGGCGGUCUGUUAAGUCUGGUGUGAAAGCCCUGGGCUCAACCCAGGGAGUGCAUUGGAUACUGACAGACUUGAGUAUGGGAGAGGAAAGCGGAAUUCCGAGUGUAGGAGUGAAAUCCGUAGAUAUUCGGAGGAACACUAGUGGCGAAGGCGGCCUUCUGGACCAAUACUGACGCUGAGACGCGAAAGCGUGGGGAGCAAACAGGAUUAGAAACCCCAGUAGUCC
This 274-nucleotide ribosomal RNA is filed under the name uncultured bacterium. RNAcentral describes it as "partial 16S ribosomal RNA". It matches the Rfam family "Bacterial small subunit ribosomal RNA", at positions 523 to 796 of the family's 1533-position model. The record is from RNAcentral.